RNAcentral lists this non-coding RNA (31 nucleotides) under Rattus norvegicus (Norway rat). The record is from RNAcentral. Lineage: Eukaryota; Metazoa; Chordata; Mammalia; Rodentia; Muridae.
UAAUUGUGGUGUCAGCUUCCUUAGGAAUAGA